Molecule: ribosomal RNA, 924 nt
Filed under: uncultured bacterium
Lineage: Bacteria
Description: bacterial SSU rRNA
Rfam family: Bacterial small subunit ribosomal RNA
Source: RNAcentral
AGAGUUUGAUCAUGGCUCAGAUUGAACGCUGGCGGCAUGCCUUACACAUGCAAGUCGAACGGCAGCAUGAUCUAGCUUGCUAGAUUGAUGGCGAGUGGCGAACGGGUGAGUAAUACAUCGGAACGUGCCCUGUAGUGGGGGAUAACUAGUCGAAAGAUUAGCUAAUACCGCAUACGACCUGAGGGUGAAAGUGGGGGACCGCAAGGCCUCAUGCUAUAGGAGCGGCCGAUGUCUGAUUAGCUAGUUGGUGAGGUAAAGGCUCACCAAGGCGACGAUCAGUAGCUGGUCUGAGAGGACGAUCAGCCACACUGGGACUGAGACACGGCCCAGACUCCUACGGGAGGCAGCAGUGGGGAAUUUUGGACAAUGGGGGCAACCCUGAUCCAGCAAUGCCGCGUGUGUGAAGAAGGCCUUCGGGUUGUAAAGCACUUUUGUCCGGAAAGAAAUCGCACUUACUAAUAUUAGGUGUGGAUGACGGUACCGGAAGAAUAAGGACCGGCUAACUACGUGCCAGCAGCCGCGGUAAUACGUAGGGUCCAAGCGUUAAUCGGAAUUACUGGGCGUAAAGCGUGCGCAGGCGGUUGUGCAAGACCGAUGUGAAAUCCCCGGGCUUAACCUGGGAAUUGCAUUGGUGACUGCACGGCUAGAGUGUGUCAGAGGGGGGUAGAAUUCCACGUGUAGCAGUGAAAUGCGUAGAGAUGUGGGAGGAAUACCGGAUGGGCGAAAGGCAGCCCCCUGGGAUAACACUGACGCUCAUGCACGAAAGCGUGGGGAGCAAACAGGAUUAGAUACCCUGGUAGUCCACGCCCCUAAACGAUGUCAAACUAGGUGGUUGACUUUCAUUUCCUUAGUAACGUAGCUAACGCGUGAAGUUGACCGCCUGGGGAGUACGGUCGCAAGAUUAAAACUCAAAGGAAUUGACGG